UUCCAGAGAUGAUCAGACGCACAUUAAUCUGUGAAAUAAGAGCUUUUCAAAUCAAUUUUCAAAUCAAGAUUCGUGUUUUCAGAAUCUGGAGACCAAGGAAGUACAACAAUGAGAUGUACAAUGGUCUCCAUUAUGUGUUAGUUGAUAAAGAGGGAAAUACGAUUCAUGCUAUAAUUGAUGAAUCUGAUUAUCCUUAUGUGUUGUCAUGAUGGAACAAGGACAGAUCUAUGACAUCACCCAUUUCUCCAAACGGAGACACGUAUCCAAAUACAAAGUUGUAGAUCAUGAUGCUCAGCUGUAUUUCAAAGAGUCAACGAAAUUCGAACCAGUGGAACAUACGUUGCCUCCAAUUCCGCAGUAUGCAUUUCAUCUUCUUGAUUUUAAUUAAAAGGUAUGAAAAAGUUGCACUUGAGUACUGAUGUUGGUCAACCUGAGUUUAGUCGUCCUGAGUUUUCUCUGUCCGUCUGCUACACGAAGUUACUCCAGACCGAAGCUGAAAAAGCAUCAAGUAUUAUGCGGAUCAUCCUGAAGAAAUCAACAAAGCUUCCAAAAACGAAGGCUCAACUAUCCGGGUCUUAGGAUCCAAAAUUAGAAUGUUGUAUAACAUUUGGAACUUAGUAACUCAAGUUACAACCAGAUUCUGCAUGCUUCUCAAAAAUGUUCCGCCA
This is a long non-coding RNA of Rosa chinensis, 668 nucleotides long. RefSeq lists it as uncharacterized. NCBI's taxonomy places the organism in Eukaryota, Viridiplantae, Streptophyta, Magnoliopsida, Rosales, Rosaceae. The record is from RefSeq and is a predicted model, not a curated record. The transcript is spliced from 4 exons.